This 404-nucleotide ribosomal RNA is filed under the name uncultured Bacteroidales bacterium. Its description in RNAcentral is "bacterial SSU rRNA". It matches the Rfam family "Bacterial small subunit ribosomal RNA", at positions 305 to 704 of the family's 1533-position model. Lineage: Bacteria; Pseudomonadati; Bacteroidota; Bacteroidia; Bacteroidales. The record is from RNAcentral.
CCCCCACAUUGGAACUGAGACACGGUCCAAACUCCUACGGGAGGCAGCAGUGAGGAAUAUUGGUCAAUGGACGAUGAGUCUGAACCAGCCAAGUAGCGUGAAGGAUGACUGCCCUAUGGGUUGUAAACUUCUUUUAUACGGGAAUAAAGUGCAGCACGUAUGCCUUUUUGUAUGUACCAUAUGAAUAAGGAUCGGCUAACUCCGUGCCAGCAGCCGCGGUAAUACGGAGGAUCCGAGCGUUAUCCGGAUUUAUUGGGUUUAAAGGGAGCGUAGGCGGACGGGUAAGUCAGUUGUGAAAGUUUGCGGCUCAACCGUAAAAUUGCAGUUGAUACUGUGCAGUCUUGAGUACAGUAGAGGCAGGCGGAAUUCGUGGUGUAGCGGUGAAAUGCUUAGAUAUCACGAAG